UGUAGUCAUGCCCUUUCCACGCAUGUUUUUCAUGUGCAGAUCUAGGUACUUUGACUCAGUCCUAUCACCCUUGAGGUGAGGCUACUAUUCCAGAGACUUCGAGAUAUAUCUGCCGCGUCCACAAACUGAGGAGUCCCUUUCUAAUCUCCCUAUUGUAUUAGCCCUUCUGUAUUUUCUUUUCCUUGUUAUAUAUUCUAGAUUUAGACACUGGUAGGAGUCCUAAAAUAUUAAUGAAAAGGAUCUUGGCAUCCAUGUGUUCGAGAGGUAGAAAACGACUGCUAGAUUGUCACCAAAGUAAAUGCAGAAUCCAGUGGUUGAGCGACGAAUUGUUGGACAACGAGCCCCACAUAAGAGUAUCAAAAAGAGGUGUUGAGAUAGGGCGAUGAGGAAAUAUAAGACCAUAAUAUAAUGGAGAGUGCCUUUCAAAUACCUUAAAAUGCGUUUAAGACACUGAUCAUGAACAGUGAUGGGAUUGGCCUUAAACUGGCAGGCAUGAUUAACAGCAUAGCGGAGGUCCGGUCGAGUGAGAGUGAUAUAUUGGAGAGAACCAACAGUACUCCCAUAGGCCUAAGGCUUGUGGUUUCAUGAGAUUUCGGGUUUUGGGAAAUAUUGUUAGUUCGAGAAGUUGUAUUGUAUAUGCUGAGCGGCAUUUUUAAAUUCUGUUUCAUUCGGUUAUUUUGGCUUUAAAUUAUUUCUUCUGCAAGUUUUGUUUAUUUUCCGCAUUUGUUAGGAUUACCUAGUCGUAGAGACUAGGUGCCGUCACGAUGGUUCACGGAGGGCGAACCGGGGUCGUGACACCGAGUCAAAAGAAUCAGAAGUAAAAUAGUACCGAACAUGAAGGUCUCAGUCCAUUCAAGAAUAAACAAAUUCUACAUUUUUACUAUUGUUGUAACUAGGGGUGGGCAUAAUAUGUUUAAAGUUGUUGCCUUCCAGUAUAAGUUAUGACCUAUUGCAAGUUUUUACUAUUUGAUAGAUAAAUUUUGUUAUGUGUUCUGUUACCUAUUUUGCAUCAACUUCUACUUGCUAUUAGCAGUUGUUGGUAUAUACAUGUGCUUUUUGACUUUUUCUGGUUUUGUGAUUAAUACCACAUAAUUUGGUUGGAAUACAUAUUAUAUUGUCCCAAGAGAAGAAAGAUAUUUUGGGACGAUGUUACUCUCCUAGGAUUUGGUAAAUCUAUUUUCCACUGCUGAGGUGUUUAGGUGUUUCUGUUUGCACGUUCUCUGUGUGCUUGUUCUCUAUAGUCUAUUAUUGAUUUCAUUUGUAGUGUAGUGACCUUUGUAUGUGUUAUUGUCUGCUGAGCUUACUUCUCUGCCCAGAUUCACAUUAAGUGUAAUUAGUCUCGUUCUGUAUGGGUGGUUACAAGUAAAGAAGGUAUGGUGAUUCCAAACAUCAGGAACUCCAGGAAGGCACCAAUGUAUACAAUCUACUUUUAGACCACUCUUCUCUUUCAAUUUCUGAAUGGCCACUUCCACCAAUUUUAUCAUCUCUGAAUCUGAUUUUGAUCCCCAAUACUCUGCAUUAAAAAUUGGUUCUGUUUUAUUGUAGCAAUUAUGACCAUUUGCUUUUCCCCAAUCUUCUGACUUUCCAUGUUAUGUUUGAAAUGUUUCUAUAGUAAAUUAGUACUACUACUAGUCAUUUUUUGUAAACCCUAAAGUAUUUUGAAAUAUAAAAUCCAACUAGCUGUAUUAAAAAGAAAUAGAAAACUGCAUGAAUAGGACAAUCUGUUUUCAUUUUCCUAGUUAAAUAUUGGUGCAUUCAAAGAUGCAAUUAACAUUUUCUAUUUGGAAGGGUUGUUGGGGGUGCUAAAGCUGGAAUAGUUCUUCAGAAAUGGCCAACACAUUUGUAAAAACGAAAAUGUCCGAAAUCAAUUUAGAGAAUCGAAAUAAGUUGAAGUAUCCGUAAACUGCUAGCAGAACACCUUUUGCUCUAAUUCGCGAGGCUGAAAUGGAGAGAAUACAAUCAACUCAGAAAAGUGAAGAUGACAGUCAUUCAGUUGAUGCUUUUGCUUCAGUCAUUGGACCUGAACAUCCAGGUCGCGUGAGAUUGUAUGGACGUAGAGUUACCAAGACUUUGUUAUAAGGGCAAAAAGGGAAUCUUGGAUCUUCUUUAGAUGCUGAUGAGAGGAUGUAGCAGAAAAUAGAGGAAAUGGAAGAAAGGAUGCAACAAAGAAUGCAUGAAAAGUUGAACGAACAAAAGGAUGCUAUGGAACAAAAUAUUACAAUGAACGUCAUUGCACGACUUCAACGUCUGAACCCAAAUUUGCGACUUGUUCCUGACAUGUUAAGGUUAAGUGCACGUUCACCUAUAGAUGCUUCCUCUGCACAACAUGCUGUUGUUCAACUAAACUAUUGACCAUCUGCUGGUAGUACAAUCAAGCUUUUGGAGCCUUGAAUAUUCUCAAAUAUAAUUCUCCUCCAACAAGGCACGGGAUGAGACGCACUCAAUGUUAUCGAGAGCAUGCUUAUCUUUGGAUCAGGAAUCGCCUAAAUAAGAGAUGGCUCGAUCCCAAGACUGUUUGAUCCGAAAACGAUAUUUCUCAAUAAGUGCCCGGAGUUGCUUUCUAAGUCAGUGAUAUCAGCAGUAGAUCUGAGACUAACACAUCCGGCUCGAUUUUCUUGGGCUGCAUAGUUUUCUUGGAUUUGAUCAAUCGUUAAAUCAAUAUUUUUGCUCUGAGUCCCAAACUAAUUUAAGCCCUGUAGCAUAUGCUUCAUACUCGACUUUGUUGUUAGUGAUAAAAUAACUUUUAUGAAUUAUCUAACUACUUUCCCUAAUAGGUAUUAAGCAUUGCCCCUAACUCGGGAGGUUUAGUACUUGUGGACCUAAUUGUGUAGAAGGUCCAGAUCCCGAGAAUUAUCCCAGAAAUAACAUGUUCGGGUAAUAUGUUCGAGCUAAGAUUAAUCAUGAAAUCUGCUAAAUUUGUGAUUUUAUA
Molecule: non-coding RNA, 2929 nt
Organism: Nicotiana tabacum (common tobacco)
Lineage: Eukaryota; Viridiplantae; Streptophyta; Magnoliopsida; Solanales; Solanaceae
Source: RefSeq, a predicted model, not a curated record